This 1964-nucleotide long non-coding RNA is filed under the name Canis lupus familiaris (dog). RNAcentral describes it as "lncRNA (ENSCAFG00040016950.1)". Lineage: Eukaryota; Metazoa; Chordata; Mammalia; Carnivora; Canidae. The record is from RNAcentral.
AAAAACCCAACUUUGUAAAAAAAAAAAAAAAGCAAAGAUGAAAACAGUUGUCCCACUCUUUUCUUAGCCAAAUGUGCCUUGAAAGAUUUGAUUUUUGAGCUCAGAAUCCAACUCUCUAAUUAUCUAAACAAUUCUACCAAGUACAAAACACCAUAUUUACAUAUGCAAAGCAAGAAUGAAGAAUUAGAAUACUUAAUUUAUUCACACAAUUGAAUGUUGAAACAACUACAGAUUCAGAUACUUUUUUUUUUUUUUUUUUUGCAAAUUCCCAUCUCCAAAGUGGCUUGAUGCUAAAUCUACUUUUUUACAUAACAUUGUGGUCCUCGGUAUCUCAUCUCUACAUAAUAGAUAUUUUAGGAAUUUAAGUUUUUAGGUAAAUAUUUGGAAUAUGUUUGCAAAUUAAGGUUCCCCCGAGCAAGGUUGUUAACCUACAGGCCUCUCUUGAAAAUGAGGUCCUUGGUUUGCAAACAUUUUAAUACCUAGGUGAGGAACAGAGAGAGGCUGCCUGGAUGGCUUAAGAGCUUUUUCUUACUGGGUGGACUCAUUUAGGUUGAAAGUGAUUAUUUUGAAAUCCAUUUCAUUCUAAGCAAAUGUCUCCACCCUGGGAAAAUAAAAUAGAGCAACUGCUGGCUAGCUCCUAAGCAAUUGUUGCCAUUUUAUUCAGUGUUCUACCUUAGUAUUCCCAGUGGUUUAAAUGAAUAUCCAUAAUGGCCCUUAUCCUUGUAGUCCCGUCUAGAACUUACCUCAUUCAAAAACAAACUAACCAACCAACCAUAUUAUAAUGAAAUUAUGACCUUACGUGAGUCUUUCUAGGUCAACACUAAUGCUCUCCUUUUCUAAUUUUAUACCAGUUCAUAGCAGAGUUUAGGUCCAACUCCUUCCUGGAAUGACACAUUUUCCACUAAGUAGUCUUCUGGCUGUUUAGUGCUGAGCAUCACGCCUGGAGGGAUGUCUCCCAUGAGAGCACCUCUAGGUCCAUAAACUCCCCUACACAAACCCCCCAGGCUGUCCUGAUCUACCUUCUCUUGGCUCGGUAAGUGAAAUUAUCUGUAAAAUAAGGGGAGAAAAGAAACUGAUAGCUGAACAAGUUUUAAUAAGUGGAAAAAUUAAAAUAUAAUAAUUAACUUAAUGCUUGGACCUUUGAGUGCCUUUAUUUUCCUCAGUUUCACUUUUUCCUGCUUAUUGAAGAAUCAAAGCUUCUUUAUUUCACGAAGAUUGCCUUAAGAGCUUAAAACUCUCUUCUGCUAGUUAUCUAGAGAACCCAGGAAAUAGUUAAUUGAAAGACAUUGCUUUUUUUUUUUUUUUUUCCCCAACUGGUUGCCUCGUUUUAUCCUAGUGCAAGGACUAGCCUUGAAAGCACAAAGCCAGAAUGUGACAGUGUGAGGCACAUCCAGACACGGCACUAUUCCACACGGCCUUGGGGGGAGGAAGAGGUGGAAGGCAUCUGCACACUCCAGAUACAGGAACUUUGAAUACAGUUGUCAAGUGUGUCAACUUUGCCAAGAUAUCCAGCUAUAAAAAUACCUGGAAUAAAAUAAAAUAAUAAAAUAAAAUAAAAUAAAAUAAAAUAAAAUAAAAUAAAAUAAAAUAAUAAAAUAAUAAAAUAAAACAAAAUGACAGAUUCAUUAUUGUAAUCAUUUAGGAAGAUAACAAUAAGGAUUGAUUAGGAAUCACUCAGCCUCACUUUAGAAUAAGGAUUACAGGUCGGUUACCAUGCAGCAGAUUCCAAAGAACGUACUAAAAAUAAUACAGUGGGUCCCAACAUGUAUUUUAAAUUCUCUUACUAGGAGUUAGAAAGCACCUGACCCAUGGUACCAAAUGAUGCAUUUCUUAUCUGUCCUCAAAAAUACCUUCUUGGUGUCUCUACCUCUCAUGAAUAAAUAAAUAAAAUCUUAAAAAAAAAUACCUUCUUGAAAAUGGUGCUGAUUACCCUGUGAGGCCCCAUCCCAAGAUGAGUCCUAACU